Molecule: ribosomal RNA, 372 nt
Filed under: uncultured organism
Description: partial 16S ribosomal RNA
Rfam family: Bacterial small subunit ribosomal RNA
Source: RNAcentral
GUAGGUGGCAAGCGUUGUCCGGAAUUAUUGGGCGUAAAGCGCGCGCAGGCGGUUCUUUAAGUCUGAUGUGAAAGCCCACGGCUCAACCGUGGAGGGUCAUUGGAAACUGGAGAACUUGAGUACAGAAGAGGAAAGCGGAAUUCCACGUGUAGCGGUGAAAUGCGUAGAGAUGUGGAGGAACACCAGUGGCGAAGGCGGCUUUCUGGUCUGUAACUGACGCUGAGGCGCGAAAGCGUGGGGAGCAAACAGGGAUUAGAUACCCUGGUAGUCCACGCCGUAAACCAUGAGUGCUAAGUGUUAGGGGGUUUCCGCCCCCUUAGUGCUGCAGCUAACGCAUUAAGCACUCCGCCUGGGGAUACGGCCGCAAGGCUG